RNAcentral lists this ribosomal RNA (253 nucleotides) under uncultured bacterium. RNAcentral describes it as "partial 16S ribosomal RNA". It matches the Rfam family "Bacterial small subunit ribosomal RNA", at positions 524 to 776 of the family's 1533-position model. The record is from RNAcentral.
UACGUAGGUGGCAAGCGUUGUCCGGAUUUACUGGGCGUAAAGAGCGCGCAGGCGGUCGUUCAAGUCGCGUGUGAAAGCCCCCGGCUCAACUGGGGAGGGUCACGCGAUACUGAUCGACUGGAAGGCAGGAGAGGGUAGUGGAAUUCCCGGUGUAGUGGUGAAAUGCGUAGAUAUCGGGAGGAACACCGGUGGCGAAGGCGGGUCUCUGGGCAGUAACUGACGCUGAGAAGCGAAAGCAUGGGGAGCGAACAGG